This 490-nucleotide ribosomal RNA is filed under the name uncultured bacterium. RNAcentral's name for it is "partial 16S ribosomal RNA". It matches the Rfam family "Bacterial small subunit ribosomal RNA", at positions 30 to 507 of the family's 1533-position model. The record is from RNAcentral.
AUUGAACGCUGGCGGCAGGCCUAACACAUGCAAGUCGAACGGUAACAGGAAGCAGCUUGCUGCUUUGCUGACGAGUGGCGGACGGGUGAGUAAUAUCUGGGAAACUGCCUGAUGGAGGGGGAUAACUACUGGAAACGGUAGCUAAUACCGCAUAACGUCGCAAGACCAAAGAGGGGGACCUUCGGGCCUCUUGCCAUCGGAUGUGCCCAGAUGGGAUUAGCUAGUAGGUGGGGUAACGGCUCACCUAGGCGACGAUCCCUAGCUGGUCUGAGAGGAUGACCAGCCACACUGGAACUGAGACACGGUCCAGACUCCUACGGGAGGCAGCAGUGGGGAAUAUUGCACAAUGGGCGCAAGCCUGAUGCAGCCAUGCCGCGUGUAUGAAGAAGGCCUUCGGGUUGUAAAGUACUUUCAGCGGGGAGGAAGGGAGUAAAGUUAAUACCUUUGCUCAUUGACGUUACCCGCAGAAGAAGCACCGGCUAACUCCGUG